UUGAAAUAAACCUGAUGGGUCGUUGCUGGUUCUCUAGGGAGCAUGUGCACACCUUGUCAUCUUUAUAUCUCCACCUGUGCACUUUUUGUAGACCCGAAAGGGUCUAUGUUGCUUCAUUUUUACACCCCAAUGUAUGUCAAUAGAAUGUUGUCCUUAUAUAAUAUAUA
Molecule: unclassified non-coding RNA, 167 nt
Filed under: uncultured Cortinarius
Lineage: Eukaryota; Fungi; Basidiomycota; Agaricomycetes; Agaricales; Cortinariaceae
Description: sequence contains ITS1
Source: RNAcentral